This 548-nucleotide ribosomal RNA is filed under the name uncultured Glomus. Its description in RNAcentral is "SSU rRNA". It matches the Rfam family "Eukaryotic small subunit ribosomal RNA", at positions 548 to 1098 of the family's 1831-position model. Lineage: Eukaryota; Fungi; Glomeromycota; Glomeromycetes; Glomerales; Glomeraceae. The record is from RNAcentral.
UUGGAGGGCAAGUCUGGUGCCAGCAGCCGCGGUAAUUCCAGCUCCAAUAGCGUAUAUUAAAGUUGCUGCAGUAAAAAAGCUCGUAGUUGAAUUUCGGGACCAAUAUGUCGGUCGUGCCUCGGUACGUACUGGCAUCGUUGGUUUCUCCCUUCUGACGAACCAUGAUGUCAUUCAUUUGGUGUCGUGGGGAAUCAGGACUGUUACUUUGAAAAAAUUAGAGUGUUUAAAGCAGGCUCACGCUUGAAUACAUUAGCAUGGAAUAAUGAAAUAGGACGUUUGAUUCUAUUUUGUUGGUUUCUAGGAUCGACGUAAUGAUUAAUAGGGAUAGUUGGGGGCAUUAGUAUUCAAUUGUCAGAGGUGAAAUUCUUGGAUUUAUUGAAGAUUAACUACUGCGAAAGCAUUUGCCAAGGAUGUUUUCAUUAAUCAAGAACGAAAGUUAGGGGAUCGAAGACGAUCAGAUACCGUCGUAGUCUUAACCAUAAACUAUGCCGACUAGGGAUCGGAUGAUGUUAAUUUUUUAAUGACUCAUUUGGCACCUUACGGGAAAC